This 716-nucleotide long non-coding RNA is filed under the name Anser brachyrhynchus (Pink-footed goose). RNAcentral describes it as "lncRNA (ENSABRG00000017621.1)". The record is from RNAcentral. Lineage: Eukaryota; Metazoa; Chordata; Aves; Anseriformes; Anatidae.
CCCAAUAUAGACUGAUGCACAAACAGCAACAGUAGAUACUGUAUGCUUGUAGAUAGAUGCAUUCUUCUUGGAGGAGGCUAUUACAAACAGUCAUUGCUAGGUGACAGCAAAACUGUGAUUUAGCUUUGGAAUGUAGCAGCCUGUUCUAGUCCCAUGAAGUCUGUACUGUAGGCAAUGUAAUGACUGCAGCCUACUUUCCAUUUACACGAGAGUGACAUGCUGCUUUCAACAUUUAAUGAAACUGGAAGGGUGUAAGUUACUUCUGGCAUCCUGUGGCUCCGCGCAGAAGUGGCGCGUUGGACUCCCUCCUCACAAAAGGCAGGACAUUUGUCCUUGCUGAGACUACAGCUGUGCAUGCCCCAUGUAGACCCACCACCGCAGAUGUUUCCUCAGGAGAAAAAGAAGUCAGCUACCCAGGAAGGGUGACCUCUGCCCUUCCCUGCCUCUUGCUGUCUGUCACCUUCACUGGGAACUCACUAAGCUUUGCUCUGCAGGAAGCACAAUUAAAUGCUAACAUCUCCAUUGCACUCCCAUCAGGUGAGUCCACUCUGGAAAUUUAUUUGGUGGCCCAUGGAAUCAGACGGCGAGGCAGACAUUGUGACUGUAAUGCUGUAGCAUUUGAUACCCCUUUACAGUAAAAGUGUCGAAGAAUACAGGUGUCAUUUGGCCCAAAUUGUAAGCUGCCUCCGAGGUAGUUGUACCACAUGAUAAAAGCU